This 253-nucleotide ribosomal RNA is filed under the name uncultured bacterium. RNAcentral describes it as "partial 16S ribosomal RNA". It matches the Rfam family "Bacterial small subunit ribosomal RNA", at positions 524 to 776 of the family's 1533-position model. The record is from RNAcentral.
UACGGAGGGUGCAAGCGUUAUCCGGAUUCACUGGGUUUAAAGGGUGCGUAGGAGGGCAGGUAAGUCAGUGGUGAAAUCUCCGGGCUUAACUCGGAAAGGUCAACUGAUACUGUGCGACUAGAGUGCAGAAGGGGCAACUGGAAUUCUCGGUGUAGCGGUGAAAUGCGUAGAUAUCGAGAGGAACACCUGCGGCGAAGGCGGGUUGCUGGGCUGACACUGACGCUGAUGCGCGAAAGCCAGGGGAGCGAACGGG